AGCGAACGCUGGCGGCGUGCCUUACACAUGCAAGUCGAACGUGAACGGCUUCGGCCUAGUAAAGUGGCGUACGGGUGAGUAACACGUAGGUAAUCUACCCUGAAGUUCGGAAUAACCUGCCGAAAGGCGGGCUAAUACUGGAUAGAGCGAAGGACUCGUAAGGAGUUUUUCGGGAAAGGGAGCCCGCAAGGGCCCUUGCUUUAGGAUGAGCCUGCGUCUCAUUAGCUAGUUGGUGGGGUAAUGGCCUACCAAGGCAGUGAUGAGCAGCUGGUCUGAGAGGAUGAUCAGCCACACUGGAACUGAAACACGGUCCAGACUCCUACGGGAGGCAGCAGUGGGGAAUCUUGCGCAAUGGACGAAAGUCUGACGCAGCCACGCCGCGUGAGUGAAGAAGGCCUUCGGGUUGUAAAGCUCUGUCGGGCGGGACGAAAAGCUUUAUGGUUAAUAGCCAUGGAGCCCGACGGUACCUUUGGAGGAAGCACCGGCUAACUUCGUGCCAGCAGCCGCGGUAA
RNAcentral lists this ribosomal RNA (512 nucleotides) under uncultured bacterium. Its description in RNAcentral is "partial 16S ribosomal RNA". It matches the Rfam family "Bacterial small subunit ribosomal RNA", at positions 29 to 523 of the family's 1533-position model. The record is from RNAcentral.